RNAcentral lists this ribosomal RNA (301 nucleotides) under uncultured Sphingobium sp. Its description in RNAcentral is "bacterial SSU rRNA". It matches the Rfam family "Bacterial small subunit ribosomal RNA", at positions 495 to 795 of the family's 1533-position model. Lineage: Bacteria; Pseudomonadati; Pseudomonadota; Alphaproteobacteria; Sphingomonadales; Sphingobiaceae. The record is from RNAcentral.
CGCGAUCGCGUCGCGAGUGGCGGCGGUGAUACAGGGUGGGCGAGGGUUAAGGGGAGUUACUGGUCGUAAAGUGCGCGUAGGCGGCCGAACAAGUGAUGUGUGAAAUCCCUGGGCUCAACCUAUGAACUGCACUUUGGACUGUUGGUCUGGAGUACUGUAGAGGGCAGUUGAAGUUCCGGUGUAGCGGUGAAAGGCGUAGAGAUCGGAAGGAACACCAGUGGCGAAGGCGGCUGCCUGGACAGAUACUGACGCUGAGGCGCGAGAGCGUGGGGAGCAAACAGGAUUAGAUACCGCUGUAGUC